GACCAUAUAGUUUAAACAAAAUAAUAGAUUGCAAGUCUGGAGAAGGGUUACCCUAUGGUCU
RNAcentral lists this transfer RNA (61 nucleotides) under Streptocephalus cafer. Its description in RNAcentral is "tRNA-Cys". Lineage: Eukaryota; Metazoa; Arthropoda; Branchiopoda; Anostraca; Streptocephalidae. The record is from RNAcentral.